RNAcentral lists this ribosomal RNA (523 nucleotides) under uncultured bacterium. RNAcentral's name for it is "bacterial SSU rRNA". It matches the Rfam family "Bacterial small subunit ribosomal RNA", at positions 355 to 895 of the family's 1533-position model. The record is from RNAcentral.
UAGGGAAUCUUGCACAAUGGGCGAAAGCCUGAUGCAGCAACGCCGCGUGAAGGAUGAAGGCCUUCGGGUUGUAAACUUCUGUUCUAAGGGAAGAAACAAAUGACGGUACCUUAGGAGCAAGCCCCGGCUAACUACGUGCCAGCAGCCGCGGUAAUACGUAGGGGGCAAGCGUUAUCCGGAAUUAUUGGGCGUAAAGAGUGCGUAGGUGGUUACCUAAGCGCAAGGUUUAAUUUAGAGGCUCAACCUCUACUUGCCUUGCGAACUGGGCUACUUGAGUGCAGGAGGGGAAAGCGGAAUUCCUAGUGUAGCGGUGAAAUGCGUAGAUAUUAGGAGGAACACCAGCGGCGAAGGCGGCUUUCUGGACUGUAACUGACACUGAGGCACGAAAGCGUGGGUAGCAAACAGGAUUAGAUACCCUGGUAGUCCACGCCGUAACGAUGAGCACUAGGUGUUGGGCCCGUUAGGGCCCAGUGCCGCAGUUAACGCAAUAAGUGCUCCGCCUGGGGAGUACGCUCGCAAGAGU